RNAcentral lists this ribosomal RNA (765 nucleotides) under uncultured Streptococcus sp. RNAcentral describes it as "bacterial SSU rRNA". It matches the Rfam family "Bacterial small subunit ribosomal RNA", at positions 28 to 776 of the family's 1533-position model. The record is from RNAcentral. Lineage: Bacteria; Bacillati; Bacillota; Bacilli; Lactobacillales; Streptococcaceae.
GAUGAACGCGGGCGGCGUGCCUAAUACAUGCAAGUAGAACGCUGAAGCUUGGUGCUUGCACCGAGCGGAAGAGUUGCGAACGGGUGAGUAACGCGUAGGUAACCUGCCUCUUAGCGGGGGAUAACUAUUGGAAACGAUAGCUAAUACCGCAUAAAAGUCGGCAUUGCAUGAUGUUGACUUGAAAGGUGCAACUGCAUCACUAAGAGAUGGACCUGCGUUGUAUUAGCUAGUUGGUGAGGUAACGGCUCACCAAGGCGACGAUACAUAGCCGACCUGAGAGGGUGAUCGGCCACACUGGGACUGAGACACGGCCCAGACUCCUACGGGAGGCAGCAGUAGGGAAUCUUCGGCAAUGGACGGAAGUCUGACCGAGCAACGCCGCGUGAGUGAAGAAGGUUUUCGGAUCGUAAAGCUCUGUUGUAAGAGAAGAACGAGUGUGAGAGUGGAAAGUUCACACUGUGACGGUAACUUACCAGAAAGGGACGGCUAACUACGUGCCAGCAGCCGCGGUAAUACGUAGGUCCCGAGCGUUAUCCGGAUUUAUUGGGCGUAAAGCGAGCGCAGGCGGUUAGAUAAGUCUGAAGUUAAAGGCUGUGGCUUAACCAUAGUACGCUUUGGAAACUGUUUAACUUGAGUGCAGAAGGGGAGAGUGGAAUUCCAUGUGUAGCGGUGAAAUGCGUAGAUAUAUGGAGGAACACCGGUGGCGAAAGCGGCUCUCUGGUCUGUAACUGGCGCUGAGGCUCGAAAGCGUGGGGAGCAAACAGG